UAUUGGACAAUGGGCGAAAGCCUGAUCCAGCAAUACCGCGUGUGUGAAGAAGGCCUUAGGGUUGUAAAGCACUUUCAAUUGGGAGGAAAACCUGCCGGUCAAUACCCGGUAGCUUGACAUUACCUUUAGAAGAAGCACCGGCUAACUCCGUGCCAGCAGCCGCGGUAAUACGGAGGGUGCGAGCGUUAAUCGGAAUUACUGGGCGUAAAGCGUGCGUAGGCGGUUCGUUAAGUCAGAUGUGAAAGCCCUGGGCUCAACCUGGGAACUGCAUUUGAAACUGGCGGACUAGAGUUUGGUAGAGGGGAGUGGAAUUUCAGGUGUAGCGGUGAAAUGCGUAGAUAUCUGAAGGAACACCAGUGGCGAAGGCGACUCCCUGGACUAGAACUACGCUGAGUACGAAA
This 401-nucleotide ribosomal RNA is filed under the name uncultured bacterium. RNAcentral describes it as "bacterial SSU rRNA". It matches the Rfam family "Bacterial small subunit ribosomal RNA", at positions 362 to 758 of the family's 1533-position model. The record is from RNAcentral.